Molecule: ribosomal RNA, 515 nt
Filed under: uncultured bacterium
Lineage: Bacteria
Description: partial 16S ribosomal RNA
Rfam family: Bacterial small subunit ribosomal RNA
Source: RNAcentral
GAUGAACGCUGGCGGCGUGCCUAAUACAUGCAAGUCGAGCGAAUGGAUUAAGAGCUUGCUCUUAUGAAGUUAGCGGCGGACGGGUGAGUAACACGUGGGUAACCUGCCCAUAAGACUGGGAUAACUCCGGGAAACCGGGGCAAAUACCGGAUAAUAUUUUGAACUGCAUGGUUCAAAAUUGAAAGGCGGCUUCGGCUGUCACUUAUCGAUGGACCCGCGUCGCAUUAGCUAGUUGGUGAGGUAACGGCUCACCAAGGCAACGAUGCGUAGCCGACCUGAGAGGGUGAUCGGCCACACUGGGACUGAGACACGGCCCAGACUCCUACGGGAGGCAGCAGUAGGGAAUCUUCCGCAAUGGACGAAAGUCUGACGGAGCAACGCCGCGUGAGUGAUGAAGGCUUUCGGGUCGUAAAACUCUGUUGUUAGGGAAGAACAAGUGCUAGUUGAAUAAGCUGGCACCUUGACGGUACCUAACCAGAAAGCCACGGCUAACUACGUGCCAGCCGCCGCCGUAA